AAGUCGUAACAAGGUUUCCGUAGGUGAAUAACACGUAUCCAACGUAAAAAACCCCCCUGUGAACAUUCAAACCUGCUCUCGUAGCCCAGUGAUCCAGCAAUCCCGGUAAAUCAUUGUCGAACAGUGUUGAUUCGGGACUUCUGACAAAUGAGAAGUUACACUUACGAUUGAGCGGAGAUAGCUGCAUGGCAUCGAAGCAGUCAGUGUCUGAAAGUGUCAUUGAUUGUCUAAGGAUCUCGCCUCAACGAUUGCCAGAGGUCGCUCACCGACCGGCAGACAUGCAACCGGCUAAAAAACCUCGAACAACUGUUAACAAUGGAUAUCUUGGUUCUC
Molecule: unclassified non-coding RNA, 333 nt
Filed under: fungal sp.
Lineage: Eukaryota; Fungi
Description: partial internal transcribed spacer region
Source: RNAcentral